Molecule: RNA transcript, 3966 nt
Organism: Cercocebus atys (sooty mangabey)
Lineage: Eukaryota; Metazoa; Chordata; Mammalia; Primates; Cercopithecidae
Gene name: protein CASC2, isoform 3-like
Exons: 9
Source: RefSeq, a predicted model, not a curated record
GGAGGCACGCGACGCGGGCGCGAUGGCGGGGACUCUAGGCCAGGGACUUGAUGCUGCUUGGGCCUGGCCCAGUGGCGGGUCCUGGGGACGUGGCAGAGGCCGGCAGAUGGAGAUUCAGAAACAUAAGGACAACAAGAAACUUUCCCAAGAUUUUCAGAAGGUGAUGGAUGGGAUAUUCUGAGAGUUGGAAGGCGGGCUUUGAGCCACAGAGAGCCACUGCAACAUUUGAAGAUUCUGGUGAUGAUGCUGACUGCCUGGCCACCUAAGAGGAAGAAAGGACUUUUCGGUUGGCGGGACACAGAUACUGGCCCUUCAAGGCAGAAUUCAGGCGAUGGGUGAGUCCCUGUGACAGGUGGACAUGCCCAGCAGGCUGCAUUUACCCUGCUGAUCUGUGGGCUAUUUUCACCCUUCUCGAUCUUUGCUAUUGCAAAUGAAUAUGCUAUGAGCAUAUUGUAUAAGUCACCUACAAGUCUUCCUGUGGACAUGUGCUUUUGUCACUCUUGGAAAAAUAAUACCUAGUAGUGGAAUGGCUGGAUCAUAUAAGCCAGAAAAUGCAUGACACAGGAGAAGAUGCACCCUUAUCUGUUCAGUGAGAGAUGUGCAAAUCAACAUCAACACAGAACUGCUGAAGAAAAAAAAUUGUCUCUGGAAAGCAACUUAUCCACUGGAGAUGUGAGGAGUCAUCCACACAUCACAAUUCUAUAGACAUCAAAAGCAAAAAGCAUUUCCCAUCUGCUUUAAGACUGAGGCAGACUUUCCAUCUGGACACAGCCAACCAUCCAUGUGUCAUUACAAUGAAUUCAGCACUUCCCUGGAAGCUGAAAGGGUCAAAUUCAACUUCAGCUCUGCCACUUGCUGCUUAACUUGCUGUUUAACCUUGGGCAAGCUGCCAUCCCACAUGAGGCCGAAGGUGUUGGUUUUUAAAAUACAGAAGUUGGAUUCCAUGAAGGAUUAUCGAUAUACUGCUGGUGGGUCAAAUUCCAUCUGCUACUUGCUUUUGUAAAUAAAGUUUUAUUGAAACACAAACAUACCCAUUAAUUUACUCUUGUCUAUGACUACAAGGGCAAAGUUGAAUAGUUGUUACAGAGACCAUCAGGCUCACAAAGCCUAGAUUAUUCACUCUCUAUCUGCCCAUUUACAGAGUAAGUUUGCCAGCCCUGGACUGGAUGAUUUUUUGAGUUCCUUCUAAUUCUAGAAUUCUUUAUAUAUUUUAUGAAACCCCUAAUGUUUAUAUAUUAAUUAUUUCAAUACCCGUGUCUUUACUGAGUUCCUCCUAUGAAGCAUACAUCAAGAUAUAUGUGUGAUACAUUAACUAAACUUUGUAACAGUAUCUUAAAUAGGAUUUCAAUGACUAACAGCUCUUGGAAAUAUCCAAGGUAACAUUUUGGGGCAAAUGUCUUAUGAUUUGAUUAUCAUUGGUAAAUAGAGCAUAUCUUUUUUCCUACUAACAAUGUUUAAGAAGUUAAAAAAAAAAAAUCAAGAAAACCCCGUAUGGCACUAGAGACUUAUUGCAUUAAGACAUCAUCUUCACAGAUUGUUUAGUUUUGGUAAUAUAAUUUGACAUCUAAACAUAAGCUGAGAGGGAUCUCCCUCAAAACCUUUGAUAAUAUGAUUCAUUGUCAAAUGUUUGUUUUGCCUAUCUGGCACUCAUUAAUUAAUUCUUUUUAAUAUAGCUUGGAUUUACUGAUUUUGAAAAAGAGAAUUAUUCUUAUUGAUGUUGCUAAAAUAUCCAGGUGGCUUGAAUUUCACCAACUAGAUAGUUUAAUCUAGCACAUUUGUGUAGCCCUAAUCAAAUCUUUACUAACAGAUGUGAGAAGCCCAGUACUGGAGCUAAUGUUUGUGUCUCAAUGAUAAUUAAAUUAGCUUAAUAAGGAAAAUAAAUGAACAAUAAUCACCAAAAUUUUUCUCUAAACCUGUGUUAUAGUCUUAAAAACAUUUUCCCCCUAUGGAGGCUUUUGGUAAUAAAACACAAAUUGAGGGAUUUUACUUAAAAGAAUUUUUUUUCCAAGAACUGGUCAUGUACUAAAUUGCUUAUAAUCAAAUAAUCAAGUAGCAUUUCUUUUAUCAUAAGAGCAAAACCUAUAAUUAAGCCAAAAUUCAAAUUUGUUUUCAAAGGUUGGAUAAUCUUUUGUUUUGGCCAAUAGUAUGUGGAUUUUUUCUUUUAAGGAUUAUCUCUUCGUAGUAUUUUCUAAUGGAUAGGAAAUGCCUUUCUCUGGUUGAAUGAUUAUUUCCACAUAGAAUUAGUUCCUGCUUACGACAGUGCUCCACUAAUGUAAUGGCUCAGUGAAUUGGCUUUAUAAUUCAUUAAUCAUAGCUCACAUUGAGCUUCUGGCUCCGGAUGACAGUGCCCACCACAGGCCAAAUAACUUCUCAUUUAAAGGCAAUUUGUACGAAUAGGGAAGGUGAGAAUUCUCACAGUCCCUGAGGGAUUGAAGAGUUGUUCAAAAGCCAAGAUAAGGCAUUUUAUGGAAGGCAGGUUGGUGGAAGAAAGGUGGCCAUCGGAGGAUGAGGCAGAUGGCUUUCGAGGGAGGCCCUGGUGCUGCCGCCAUGGGGAAGCCCCUGUUGCAGCUGCUGAUCAGAGCACAUUGGACGGUGUUUCCGUGUGAACGUGAAGACAAUGCUGCCUCUGUUCCUGUGACGCUGCGCUCUGACCUUGCUGGAGGCGAAGUGGUGUCAGCUGUGCUUACAGGACAGUCAGUGGUGGUGGAAAAGAGGCCCAUGUGACCUGUGGAGGACUGGGCCCCUCUCACUCAACCCGAGUGCCUGCAGCCAUGGGAAGAUCUCAAGUGACCCGUUAGCCGGAAGAGGAAAUCAAGCCUGCUAUCAAGACUGAUGCUGGGAGAAUUUCUCCAGGGCACUUAGGUGAGGGUCUAUGGUUAACUUUCCAUGACUAUGGACCCCAACUCCACAAAGCACAAGGACUCAGGCAAGUUUGCAAUUUUAGCAUGAAACACACUUUUGGGGCAUGAUCACGUGACUCAUAUUGAGUCACUAGAAGUUGUGUUACCGUGUCUGGUAUGCAAAUUUAAACAUGAGUGAGUAUUCCUUCAACCUGAGCAAUUUAUAUAACUUAUUAAUUUAAAACAUUUGAACUAUUUGUGUGGGAACAAGAGCUUCUGGCUUACAGAAUUCCCAAUGUAUAGGGCAGAGCAAUGCAUUUAGAAGAUGGCAUGAGGUAUCAAAAGUAUUGCAAACCAAAUCAGUGGGACAAUUGGGAAAAACUGAAUAAGGUCUGUAGAUUAGGUAAUAGUGCUAUAUUGAUUCUAAGUUCCUGAUUUUGAUUUUUGUACUGCAGCUAUGAAAGACAAUGUCCUUAUAUGAGGGAACUACAACAUUAAAAUGUUUAGGGGUGAAAGGAUACAAUGCCUACAAUUUAUUCUCAGAUGGUUCAAGAAAAAAAACAAAUGUACCUAUUGAUCUAUUAGUCUUUUGAGAGAGGGAGAGUAUGCUAAAGCUACUGUGGUAAAAUAUGGACAUUUUGGAAAUUUGGAUGAAGGGUAUAUGGAAGCGCUUUGUCUUAUUUUUGUAGCUUUUUCAUAUGCAUGAAAUUAUUUCAAAAUUAAAAUGUAAUGAUAAAAAAAAAGAAACUUUAAAAUAAGCAAGGCUCUAGGCUGGCCUUCUGAUUUUGGAAGGCAUAGUGCCAGAGGUAUCAGUAAAAUGCCAGGGUGUUUUGAGAUUGCCAUGGCAGAGAAUGUUUCCUCAACAUAUUUGGAGUUUGGUUUCUGGAGGCCAACAUGAUCAUUGAAUCUUGAUGGCUAAAAUAUUGUUCAUUUGCCAGCAAUUUAUUUGACUGGCUACUGGAAAAUGUUUCACUAAACAAGGAAAAUCAACAACAACAAAAAAAGGCACACUACCUUUGCAUUAAAUACUCCAAGUGUAAUAAUAUGUGACAACAUGUAUAUUGUUUUCCAUAUAGACAAGCGUUUUUGUAUGCUGAAUUUUCAGUUAUCAAUUCCGAAUAUUAAA